UUGUACAGGAAGAAACACUCCCUCGUGAGGGAGCUUGACGGUACUGUAAGAAUAAGGAUCGGCUAACUCCGUGCCAGCAGCCGCGGUAAUACGGAGGAUCCAAGCGUUAUCCGGAAUCAUUGGGUUUAAAGGGUCCGUAGGCGGGUUAAUAAGUCAGUGGUGAAAGCCCAUCGCUCAACGAUGGAACGGCCAUUGAUACUGUUAGUCUUGAAUUAUUAGGAAGUAACUAGAAUAUGUAGUGUAGCGGUGAAAUGCUUAGAGACUACAUGGAAUACCAAUUGCGAAGGCAGGUUGCUACCAAUAUAUUGACGCUGAUGGACGAAAGCGUGGGGAGCGAACAGGAUUAGAUACCCUGGUAGUCCACGCCGUAAACGAUGGAUACUAGCUGUUCGGAGCAAUCUGAGUGGCUAAGCGAAAGUGAUAAGUAUCCCACCUGGGGAGUACGUUCGCAAGAAUGAAACUCAAAGGAAUUGACGG
Molecule: ribosomal RNA, 477 nt
Filed under: uncultured Bacteroidota bacterium
Lineage: Bacteria; Pseudomonadati; Bacteroidota
Description: bacterial SSU rRNA
Rfam family: Bacterial small subunit ribosomal RNA
Source: RNAcentral